UUUCCGUAGGUGAACCUGCGGAAGGAUCAUUAUUGUAUAACCGAGGUGCGAGUGGUGUCGCUGUCUCGAAAGUUCCUUCACGCAAGAGUGCCCUCACAAACAUCCAUCUCACCCCCCUGUCUACCACCUCUUGGUUCCCCCAUUGGCCGGUUCGGAGGGGGGCUUACGUGUUCACACAAACUUUGUAUGCAGUGUAGAAUGUAUUGUUUGUUUUUGCGAACACGCAAUCAAUACAACUUUCAACAACGGAUCUCUUGGCUCUC
This 263-nucleotide unclassified non-coding RNA is filed under the name plant metagenome. RNAcentral's name for it is "partial contains small subunit ribosomal RNA, internal transcribed spacer 1, and 5.8S ribosomal RNA". The record is from RNAcentral.